AUCUAAGUGUGAAGCCCACCUCAAGAUGAGAUUUCCCAUUUCUUUAAGAAAGUAAGAUCCCUGAGAGAUGAUCAGGUAGAUAGGUCAGAAGUGAAAGGCCAGUGAUGGUUGGAGCGGACUGAUACUAAUCGAUCGAGGACUUAACCAA
This 148-nucleotide ribosomal RNA is filed under the name Enterococcus sp. B1E2. RNAcentral's name for it is "partial 23S ribosomal RNA". It matches the Rfam family "Bacterial large subunit ribosomal RNA", at positions 2779 to 2925 of the family's 2925-position model. Lineage: Bacteria; Bacillati; Bacillota; Bacilli; Lactobacillales; Enterococcaceae. The record is from RNAcentral.